CCGGAGUCAGCCACCAACUCGGAGCCCUCAUAAAAUCGCACCCUGCAGACAACACAGCCAGAGUGAGGUUCCAUGAAAUGCAAACCAAGGCCUAGCGUGAUGAUGGGCACAGAAUCCAACUCCACGGGUAAAUGCUGAUGAAUUAAAGAGAAAUCGCAACGGGACCCAGGACCUGGGUUUUGUGACUUCCCUGUCCGGUCCCUGGAUGAGGCCACCAGAUGGGGCUUAGAGACCAUUUCCCACAUCUUCAACCUGUUGGAACAAGUAGGUCAUUUCUUGCUCAAGGUGAUAACGGUCAAUGUCUGUGAUGUGUGACCAGGUCCUCCUAACCAUCCUGGUGCAAUGGUGACCCCCGACUGAGAGAACGUGGGAGGGGAACACAGGGACAGCGCAGCCAUCUGCUUGCCCUGAGUCCUGGCGUAGCCACACACUGGUAUGUGGCCCCAGAUGUGACACCUGACCCCCCUACAGCUCUGCGUCCUCAUCUAUACAAUGGGAACAAGAACAGCCUACCUCGGGUAUUCUCGUUGUGGCUCAGCGGAUUACAAACCCAACUAGUACACAUGAG
Sus scrofa (pig) is the source of this 568-nucleotide non-coding RNA. NCBI's taxonomy places the organism in Eukaryota, Metazoa, Chordata, Mammalia, Artiodactyla, Suidae. The record is from RefSeq and is a predicted model, not a curated record.